RNAcentral lists this long non-coding RNA (442 nucleotides) under Mytilus galloprovincialis (Mediterranean mussel). Lineage: Eukaryota; Metazoa; Mollusca; Bivalvia; Mytilida; Mytilidae. The record is from RNAcentral.
CGAAAGAUACCAAAGGGACAGUCAAACUCAUAAAUCUAAAACAAACUGACAACGCCAUGGCUAAAAAUGAAAAAGACAAACAGGAAAACAAUAUUACACACGACACAACAUAGAAAACUAAAGAAUAAACAACACGAACCCCACCAAAAACUAGGGGUGAUCUCAGGUGCUCCGGAAGGGUAAGCAGAUCCUGCUCCAUAUGUGGCACCCGUCGUGUUGCUUAUGUGAUUACAAAUCCGGUAAAUAGUCUAAUUUGGUAGGUCAUAUUCAUGAAAGGGAAGGGGAUUGUAGUUACGACGUAAUGAACAUAUUCGAUAUCAUUUGUGAAACGGUUAUUCCAUAACGGUCAACCAACUCGUGAUGGCGUCCGUAAAAUUUACGAAGGGAUGAUUUCAAUUUCACCAUUUGGAACUCUUGGUUUAAUAGCUUCCUUGUGAGCAGC